Molecule: ribosomal RNA, 402 nt
Filed under: bacterium
Lineage: Bacteria
Description: partial 16S ribosomal RNA
Rfam family: Bacterial small subunit ribosomal RNA
Source: RNAcentral
UGGGGAAUUUUGCACAAUGGGGGAAACCCUGAUGCAGCGACGCCGCGUGAUUGAGAAGGCCUUCGGGUUGUAAAAAUCUUUUUUACGGGAUGAAAAUGACAGUACCGUAAGAAUAAGGUCCGGCUAAAUACGUGCCAGCAGCCGCGGUAAUACGUAUGGACCGAGCGUUGUCCGGAAUCAUUGGGCGUAAAGGGUACGUAGGCGGCCUAGUAAGUUAGAAGUGAAAUAAUAUAGCUCAACUAUAUAAAGCUUUUAAAACUGCUAGGCUUGAGAGAUGGAAGGGAAAGUGGAAUUCCUAGUGUAGCGGUGAAAUGCGCAGAUAUUAGGAAGAAUACCGGUGGCGAAGGCGACUUUCUGGUCAUCAUCUGACGCUGAGGUACGAAAGCGUGGGUAGCAAACAGG